UAGGGGAAUCUUCCACAAUGGGCGCAAGCCUGAUGGAGCAACGCCGCGUGAGUGAAGAAGGUCUUCGGAUCGUAAAACUCUGUUGUUAGAGAAGAACAUGCAGGAGAGUAACUGUUCUUGUAUUGACGGUAUCUAACCAGAAAGCCACGGCUAACUAGUGCUAG
Molecule: ribosomal RNA, 164 nt
Filed under: uncultured bacterium
Lineage: Bacteria
Description: partial 16S rRNA
Rfam family: Bacterial small subunit ribosomal RNA
Source: RNAcentral